RNAcentral lists this ribosomal RNA (377 nucleotides) under Betta bellica (slender betta). RNAcentral describes it as "partial 12S ribosomal RNA". It matches the Rfam family "Bacterial small subunit ribosomal RNA", at positions 803 to 1384 of the family's 1533-position model. The record is from RNAcentral. Lineage: Eukaryota; Metazoa; Chordata; Actinopteri; Anabantiformes; Osphronemidae.
UAAACAUUGAUUUUUUUUACACCCAUCAUCCGCCCGGGUAUUACAAGCGUUAGCUCAAAACCCAAAGGACUUGGCGGUGCUUAAGACCCCCCUAGAGGAGCCUGUUCUAGAACCGAUAAUCCUCGUUUAACCUCACCCUUUCUUGUUCUUCCCGCCUAUAUACCGCCGUCGUCAGCUUACCCUGUGAAGGCCCAAUAGUGAGCAAAAAUGGCACAGCCUAAAACGUCAGGUCGAGGUGUAGCAUAUGAAAGGGGAAGAAAUGGGCUACAUUCUCUAAAAUAGAGAAUACGGAUAAUAUAUUGAAACAUGUAUUUUAAGGAGGAUUUAGCAGUAAGUAGAAAUUAGAAUGUUCUUCUGAAUUAGGCUCUAAAGCGCGC